RNA transcript from Zea mays, 1843 nucleotides. RefSeq lists it as uncharacterized. The transcript has a single exon. The record is from RefSeq and is marked validated. Lineage: Eukaryota; Viridiplantae; Streptophyta; Magnoliopsida; Poales; Poaceae.
CUUUUCUAUUCUCCUCCCCAGCCGCCAUUCACAUCCGGCCGCCAGGAAGCACCGGCGCCUGGACGACGGCGAGCCUCUCUUUUCCCUUCUCUGUCUUCUGUUUUCGUUCUAUCAGCUGCGCAGAACUUCAGCCGCCAAGGAACUCUGGUUCUUGGCCGACCGCGCGCUGCUUCUUCCUCUCUGUUUUUUUUUUCUUUGCCGCGCUCGUCCGGCCGCAAGGAGGCUCCUAGCUGACCGCGACGUGGUUAUCCUGACCGAGCGGUUCCCUGGCUGACCGAGUGAUCUCUCUGUUCUUCUUUUUCUUAAAAAAAUGAGCAUGGCCGACCGCACUUGUUGCUCUAAUUAUGUCUUUUCUUUCUUUCCCUGUCUUUGUUUUUGUGCGUUCUCUAGCAUCUGGCCACUAGUUCACUGGAGCACAUGCAGUUCAUUCGUUACACCACUGGCCAUACAGCCAUAUGCCUCACGGUCUCUCUCUUUUUUUUUUUGCAUCACUUGAACUCAGCCGAAAAAUACCGUGGUGCUCAUGGCCGUUUCUGGUUACACUUAUACUCAUAUCCAGCCUCAUGUAUUCGAUCCCUCUCUUCUGUGUGAAUGUAUGUAUGAGAUGUGUUAUAAUUUAUGGGAUCGAGUACGGAGGUCUAAAACGUGGAUGUAGUUCACUUUGCGUUUUUUUUCCUCUGAUUAACGCGUGGAUCCAGUCACUCGAUUAAACGAACAGUGCUCUGUGCACUUUGACUGAUCCGGAUUUAGGGUUAAUUUAAUUAGGGUUGAGCCCUAACUGGAUCUGUGUUUCUGUUACUUGACUUUGUUUGUUGGCUGUGGAUCGUUGGAUCCUGAGCCUUGUGCACCGUCUGGUUCAACUGAUUAGGGUUAGGUUAUUAAACCCUAACCCUGAAAUAACGGUGCGUUUUGCUCUCGGUUUCCAUGGGUUCGGUAGACCCUAACCCGAGAGAUCUAAAAUUCUUUCUCUCUGUUCACGGGGUGAUGAACGAUGAUAAAAAAAAUGAGUUCAUUCAUAUUGAUUCGAGACCUUUCUGUGAUCUCAUAAGACUGAUGCGGAUCAUAAGACUGAUGCGGAUUAGGAGAUCUAGGUUUCUUAGGACGCCUCUGAUACCAUUGUUAGAAUCUAUUCUAUCUAGGAUCGAUUCCUAAGUCCCUAGAAUACCAAUCCGUAACUGAAAGUAAAACCUUGAUGACGUGUAGAUCUGAUCUACUGAUCUAUUGAGAGGAACGGGGAAACACACCUUUGUUGUUGUUGCUAUCUUCAUACCGUCGCCCUGCAGAGAAGUAGCAGGCAUUGGGAUCCGAGCCGCUGUAGGUUGUCGCGUUUCCAAACACUCCGACGCCUAGGCGAUGGGGGCCUCUGAGGACUAGGGUUUUGGGGCGAGGUACUAGCGUUAGUCUUUCCUGCGACCCCUUAGUCCUAUAUAUAUAGCAUCGUGUGUCUGGGGGCUCCAACCGAGGUUAGCAUGGGCCCUCCCGAUCAAGGGCCCGAUUAAAGGAACGAUAGUUGGGUUAAGCCCAAUCCAGUCUCUAUUGACCGGCUGUAGAGGACACACCCAACAAUUAUCAGGAUAAGAAGGGUUGAAUCGUGUUCCAGCAACAAGUGGCAAGGGUCAGGUUCCCAAGACCACCAGUUGCAAGGAGAGAAGCAAAAUUUGGGGGCUGCAUCAUCGAUUGUGCAUGACGAGCGAUCGAGGGCGACUCCAAUAUAAUGGCGACCCAUGCUACAUUUGCACUUAAUCUCCAGUAGGGCCCAACAACAAAAACAAUCCUUGGCGACGGCGACGGUGUGAUAAUACUCCAAGAUGAAUUAUGAAUAAUUAUUAUUCCCUUGGAGAUG